Molecule: ribosomal RNA, 253 nt
Filed under: uncultured bacterium
Lineage: Bacteria
Also listed under: 1 other name
Description: partial 16S ribosomal RNA
Rfam family: Bacterial small subunit ribosomal RNA
Source: RNAcentral
UACGUAGGGUGCGAGCGUUAAUCGGAAUUACUGGGCGUAAAGCGUGCGCAGGCGGUUAUGUAAGACAGAUGUGAAAUCCCCGGGCUCAACCUGGGAACUGCGUUUGUGACUGCAUAACUAGAGUACGGCAGAGGGAGGUGGAAUUCCGCGUGUAGCAGUGAAAUGCGUAGAGAUGCGGAGGAACACCGAUGGCGAAGGCAGCCUCCUGGGCCAGUACUGACGCUCAUGCACGAAAGCGUGGGGAGCAAACAGG